GAAUCUGCCUUCAGGACGGGGAUAACAGUUGGAAACGACUGCUAAGACCGGAUGUGCCGAGAGGUGAAAUAUUUAUAGCCUGAAGAUGAGCUCGCGUCCGAUUAGCUAGUUGGUAAGGUAAAAGCUUACCAAGGCGACGAUCGGUAGCUGGUCUGAGAGGACGAUCAGCCACACUGGGACUGAGACACGGCCCAGACUCCUACGGGAGGCAGCAGUGGGGAAUUUUCCGCAAUGGGCGAAAGCCUGACGGAGCAAGACCGCGUGGGGGAGGAAGGUUCUUGGAUUGUAAACCCCUUUUCUCAGGGAAGAACAAAAUGACGGUACCUGAGGAAUCAGCAUCGGCUAACUCCGUGCCAGCAGCCGCGGUAAUACGGAGGAUGCAAGCGUUAUCCGGAAUAAUUGGGCGUAAAGCGUCCGUAGGUGGCUGUUCAAGUCUGCCGUUAAAGACCGGGGCUUAACCCUGGAAAGGCGGUGGAAACUGAACGGCUAGAGUGCAGUAGGGGUAGAGGGAAUUCCCAGUGUAGCGGUGAAAUGCGUAGAGAUUGGGAAGAACACCGGUGGCGAAAGCGCUCUGCUGGACUGCAACUGACACUGAGGGACGAAAGCUAGGGGAGCG
This 616-nucleotide ribosomal RNA is filed under the name uncultured cyanobacterium. RNAcentral describes it as "bacterial SSU rRNA". It matches the Rfam family "Bacterial small subunit ribosomal RNA", at positions 122 to 770 of the family's 1533-position model. The record is from RNAcentral. Lineage: Bacteria; Bacillati; Cyanobacteriota.